AUACGUAGGAGGCGAGCGUUGUUCGGAAUCACUGGGCUUAAAGAGCGUGUAGGCGGAGUGUCAGGUGUCUUGUGAAAUCCCCGGGCUCAACCCGGGAACUGCUGGGCAAACCGGCACUCUUGAGGCAGGUAGAGGUCAUUGGAACGACUGGUGGAGCGGUGAAAUGCGUAGAUAUCAGUUGGAACGCCGGAGGCGAAAGCGAGUGACUGGGCCUGUUCUGACGCUGAGACGCGAAAGCGUGGGUAGCAAACAGGAUUAGAAACCCGAGUAGUCC
RNAcentral lists this ribosomal RNA (274 nucleotides) under uncultured bacterium. RNAcentral describes it as "partial 16S ribosomal RNA". It matches the Rfam family "Bacterial small subunit ribosomal RNA", at positions 523 to 796 of the family's 1533-position model. The record is from RNAcentral.